CUUUAACCGCAUACAACAAACGUUCAAUUCAGAACUGGUACGAACAAGGAGAAUCCGACUGUUUAAUUAAAACAAAGCAUUGUGACGGUCCGUAAGGAUGUAGACACAAUGUGAUUUCUGCCCAGUGCUCUGAAUGUUAACGUGAAGGAAUUCAAACAAGCGCGGGUAAACGGCGGGAGUAACUAUGACUCUCUUAAGGUAGCCAAAUGCCUCGUCAUCUAAUUUGUGACGCGCACGAAUGGAUUAAUGAGAUUCUCACUGUCUCUACCCACCAUCUAGCGAAACCACAGCCAAGGGAACGGGCUUGGAAAAGAAAGCGGGGAAAGAAGACCCUGUUGAGCUUGACUCUAGUCUGCUUCUGUGAAAAGACUUUGGGGGUGUAGCGUAAGGAGGAGAGAAAUCGAACUUGAAACACUCCUACCUUGAACGUCUUUUUACUUCGGUUAUUAUGUGAGAAUUUCAAGUAAUUGAAAUUAAUUGAAUCAAAUUUGUUUUUUUACAAACAACUCAAGUAGCCAACAAAAGCAGGUGGGGAGUUUGACUGGGGCGGUACAUCUGCGAAAAAAUAGCGCAGGUGAACCAAGGCGGGCUCAGUGAGAACGGAAAUCUCACGUAGAGCUAAAGGGCAAAAGCCCGCUUGAUUUAGUCUUUCAGUGUGAGAACAAACAAGGAAACUUUGUCCUAUCGAUCCUUUAUGUUACGUAGAACCUACGUCUAGAGGUGCCAGAAAAGUUACCACAGGGAUAACUGGCUUGUGGCAGCCAAGCGUCCAAAGCGACGUUGCUUUUUGAUCCUUCGAUGUCGGCUCUUCUCAUCAUUCCGUUGCAGAAGGCGGAAAGUGUCAGAUUGUUCACCUGUAAAAGAGGAACGUGAGCUGGGUUUAGACCGUCGUGAGACAGGUUAGUUUUACCCUACUUUCGGAUGGAUUUCUUGACUCGACACGGGGGUAGUACGAGAGGAACUGCCCGUGGCAGCCAAUAGUUCGUGGUUUCGUUGAACAACGAGUGACCAGACGCCACGCUGUCUUUGAUAAGAACUGGAAGCCUCUAAAGUUCGAAUCAUACGAGAACAUGGAAGUCGAUAUUACUUGUUUUAUCUAGAUGCAAGAAUACUUGUAUGCUAUAUGAAUUUAUUUCUAGUUGAUUUUAAUCAUUAAUUAGAAUGAAUUGU
This 1170-nucleotide ribosomal RNA is filed under the name metagenome. RNAcentral describes it as "eukaryotic LSU rRNA". It matches the Rfam family "Eukaryotic large subunit ribosomal RNA", at positions 2080 to 3253 of the family's 3401-position model. The record is from RNAcentral.